RNAcentral lists this ribosomal RNA (530 nucleotides) under uncultured bacterium. RNAcentral's name for it is "bacterial SSU rRNA". It matches the Rfam family "Bacterial small subunit ribosomal RNA", at positions 979 to 1509 of the family's 1533-position model. The record is from RNAcentral.
CCUUGACAUACUAAGAACUUUCCAGAGAUGGAUUGGUGCCUUCGGGAACUUAGAUACAGGUGCUGCAUGGCUGUCGUCAGCUCGUGUCGUGAGAUGUUGGGUUAAGUCCCGCAACGAGCGCAACCCUUUUCCUUAUUUGCCAGCGGGUAAUGCCGGGAACUUUAAGGAUACUGCCAGUGACAAACUGGAGGAAGGCGGGGACGACGUCAAGUCAUCAUGGCCCUUACGGCCAGGGCUACACACGUGCUACAAUGGUCGGUACAAAGGGUUGCUACCUCGCGAGAGGAUGCUAAUCUCAAAAAGCCGAUCGUAGUCCGGAUCGCAGUCUGCAACUCGACUGCGUGAAGUCGGAAUCGCUAGUAAUCGCGGAUCAGAAUGCCGCGGUGAACUGCGUUCCGGCCUUGUACACACCGCCCGUCACACCAUGGGAGUUUGUUGCACCAGAAGUAGGUAGUCUAACCGCAAGGAGGACGCUUACCACGGUGUGGCCGAUGACUGGGGUGAAGUCGUAACAAGGUAGGCGUAGAUGA